CCUACGGGAGGCAGCAGUGAGGAAUAUUGGUCAAUGGACGCAAGCCUGAACCAGCCAUGCCGCGUGCAGGAUGACGGCUCUAUGAGUUGUAAACUGCUUUUCUACGAGGGUAAACCGCGAAACGUGUAUCUGGUUGUAUGUAUCGUAUGAAUAAGGAUCGGCUAACUCCGUGCCAGCAGCCGCGGUAAUACGGAGGAUGCGAGCGUUAUCCGGAUUUAUUGGGUUUAAAGGGUGCGUAGGUGGUUUGAUAAGUUAGAGGUGAAAGGUUGUGGCUCAACCCUGAAACUGCCGCUAAUACUGUUGGACUAGAGAAUAGUUGCGGUAGGCGGAAUGCAUGGUGUAGCGGUGAAAUG
RNAcentral lists this ribosomal RNA (353 nucleotides) under uncultured bacterium. RNAcentral describes it as "partial 16S ribosomal RNA". It matches the Rfam family "Bacterial small subunit ribosomal RNA", at positions 338 to 688 of the family's 1533-position model. The record is from RNAcentral.